This 231-nucleotide unclassified non-coding RNA is filed under the name Glomus sp. RNAcentral's name for it is "partial contains 5.8S ribosomal RNA and internal transcribed spacer 2". The stretch from base 1 to 71 matches the Rfam family "5.8S ribosomal RNA", at positions 84 to 154 of the family's 154-position model. Lineage: Eukaryota; Fungi; Glomeromycota; Glomeromycetes; Glomerales; Glomeraceae. The record is from RNAcentral.
GUGAAUCAUCAAAUUUUUGAACGCAAAUUGCACUCUCUGGUAUUCCGGAGAGUAUGCCUGUUUGAGAGUCAGUUAAAAUAAAAAUCGGUGUGGUGGCGGCCUUUCGUGGUGAUGCACAGGGUUGGGGUCGUCUUGCCUUCUGUUAAGUGACCUAUAGUUUUACAUGAUUUGUUUCGAACGUAUUUAAAUGAUAUUACGUACGAUUUCGAUAUCGGAUACAAGGUGGAGUCA